This 301-nucleotide ribosomal RNA is filed under the name uncultured bacterium. RNAcentral describes it as "partial 16S ribosomal RNA". It matches the Rfam family "Bacterial small subunit ribosomal RNA", at positions 509 to 809 of the family's 1533-position model. The record is from RNAcentral.
CAGCAGCCACGGUAAAACGUAGGUGGCAAGCGUUGUCCGGAAUUAUUGGGCGUAAAGGGCUCGCAGGCGGUUUCUUAAGUCUGAUGUGAAAGCCCCCGGCUCAACCGGGGAGGGUCAUUGGAAACUGGGAAACUUGAGUGCAGAGGAGGAGAGUGGAAUUCCACGUGUAGCGGUGUAAUGCGUAGAGAUGUGGAGGAACACCAGUGGCGAAGGCGACUCUCUGGUCUGUAACUGACGCUGAGGAGCGAAAGCGUGGGGAGCGAACAGGAUUAGAUACCCGGGUAGUCCCUGUCUCUUAUAA